ACAUUGGGGACAUUGGGGACAUCCCCAGGGGGGGACUUGGGGACAUUGGGGACACCCCCAGGGUGACAGGGACAUGGGGGACACCCCCGGGGGUGACAGGGGAUGGCACAGGGGGUGUCACAGAGGUGUCACAGCGCAGCAGGCGUCUCGUGUCCUGGUGGGGGAAGCGGGUGACACACAGGUGACACACAGGUGACAGGGGUGUGACACUGACCUGAGCAGUGUCCGUUUGUCCCUCCGGUACCAGCGCAGCAGCAGCAGGUGCAGGGGCAGUCCCGUCAGGGUGACACAGGGGUGACACGGGGGUGACACAGGGGUGACACACAGGUGACAGGGGUGUGACACUGACCUGAGCAGUGUCCGUUUGUCCCGCCGGUACCAGCGCAGCAGCAGCAGGUGUAGGGGCAGCCCGGUCAGGGUGACACAGGGGAUGAUGGGGUGACACAGGUGACACAGGGAGGUGACAGGGGUGUCACACUGACCUGAGCAGUGUCCGUUUGUCUCUCCGGUACCAGCGCAGCAGCAGCAGGUGUAGGGGCAGCCCGGUCAGGGUGACACAGGGGUGACACAGGGGUGACACAGGUGACACACAGGUGACACACAGGUGACAGGGGUGUCACACUGACCUGAGCAGUGUCCGUUUGUCCCGCCGGUACCAGCGCAGCAGCAGCAGGUGUAGGGGCAGUCCCGUCAGGGUGACACGGGGGUGACACGGGGGAUGAUGGGGUGACACAGGUGA
Long non-coding RNA from Malurus melanocephalus (red-backed fairy wren), 739 nucleotides. RefSeq lists it as uncharacterized. The record is from RefSeq and is a predicted model, not a curated record. The transcript is spliced from 3 exons. Lineage: Eukaryota; Metazoa; Chordata; Aves; Passeriformes; Maluridae.